UCAGCCUUCUGUGAUGUCACCGGUAAAUCACUGCCCUAGAAACAGCAGUGUUCUUUGCCUGAGGACUACACAAUGUCCAGCAAGGAGGGUUGGGAUUCAAAGACAGCCCAUGUGUCUGGAAAGAAGGCUUCCUAAGUAGAAGACAGACUCCAAAUUGAUAACAAUAUGGGCUGUGACUCACUUUCUACAAGAAAUCUGUGUCAAAUUUGAAUUCUCUCCAUCAAAUGCAAAAGAUAUGCUCACCAUGGAGGACCCAGGACCAUGAAUGUAUGAAAGACACCAGAGAAUCAAUCUGGGCACAUUUGACAAGAUGAGUGUGUGGACCACACCCAGAAGCCAUUAUGUGCCCAGCUGUCUUCAAUAGAUUCAGAACAAGUGAUCGUGUUUGUGUUGACCAACACCACCACCUCAGAGAAUGGCUUACCACAUUAGUGUAUGGUGUACCUCGGUGUGUGGUAUACCUGGAAUAUGCUUUAUUCAAAAAACUGUUUCAUUUUACAGAAGACAUAAGCUUCUACAUCGUCAGUCUUAAUUUGUAUUAUUAUCCCCAUGGUGGCCAUAACUUCAAAUAAAUAUGUAAUUAUUGAAUCUGUCUUGUCAGAAUACAGAAUUCAAAGCAGUUGCCCAUUGAAAUUCUGAAUAUGUAUCUAUGGUAUAGUGUAUAUAUUUAAAUUUUCCAGACUCAACAAAAUGAAACACAUUCAUUUGCCAAAUUUCAUUUCUUUGUAUACCCUCUACUAUCAAAGUGUUAUCAUAGUUAUUAGAUUCACUAUUGAGUAUAUCUCUAUCUCAGGUCCAUUCCUCUGUGAGUGUUGAUCUUGCCUUUAAAUGCCUAAUUACCCUUUGAUGUUGUGAAUUAGAAUUUACAAAAGCCAAAGAUUCAACUAUUAUUUGUUUAAAUUCUCUAUUUGUUAUCAUUAUAUUUACAGAUUAAAUCAAUAUUUGUAAAAUAAAAUCAGUGAAUGUUU
Myodes glareolus (Bank vole) is the source of this 968-nucleotide non-coding RNA. The record is from RefSeq and is a predicted model, not a curated record. Lineage: Eukaryota; Metazoa; Chordata; Mammalia; Rodentia; Cricetidae.